Triticum aestivum (bread wheat) is the source of this 3061-nucleotide long non-coding RNA. RefSeq lists it as uncharacterized. The transcript has 6 exons. Lineage: Eukaryota; Viridiplantae; Streptophyta; Magnoliopsida; Poales; Poaceae. The record is from RefSeq and is a predicted model, not a curated record.
UCUGAGUACGCACAACAGUACGGGUCAUCUUCCUGGGGACGGCACGGCAGCGCCGCCAUGAAUCAAGCCGCCGCGCGCGGCCGGUAUACCUUUCCCGCUACCCUCCAGCAGCGCGGCCGUUGCCCUUUUCUUCCCCUCCUCACCCGCCCCAACUCCUCACCCCCAGCCUCCUCGGCCUCAACGCGGACGUCUCCGAUUUGGAUAGGAUUCGACGCCGCCACGCGCGGCCGGUCUUCAUCUCUAGCUAUCCUCCAGCAGCGCCGCCGUUGCCCUGUUCUUCGCCUCCUCACCCGCCCCAACUCCUCACCCCCAGCCUCCUCCGCCUCGAGGAGGACGGCUCCGAUUUGGAGCUCAAGUACUGCCUCCUGACACCUCCAUCCCCAAGUACGUGCUCCCGUCAGACGAGGACGAGAUUUGGAUUGGGGCGCAACAGAGAUGAGGAAGGACAAAGCAUGAAUAGCUCCAGUGAGAGUGAACGGAUAUGAACACCACAACCCUCUCAGGGGUUGUUGGCUGAUCAGGAUACCCAAUUCUCAAACAAGCAUGCUGAGAUGCUCAAGAUAUGGAAGUUCGCCCACAAGCUCGACCACCAGGUUUUUUUGGUUCAUGUUCAAUGGGAGGCGAAUAGUGUAGAGAGGGUAUCUGAUGCAAGUCCAAGGUAAACAUUUGUUUCUUUUAUUGUGUUUAGGUGAACAUGUCAAAGGUGCAGAUGGACAUGAUGAAGCCGUGAAUUGUCACGCAAGUCACUGAGCUUCUUGGGUUCGAAAAACUACCUAACUGCUAUUAUCCUGAAUUUAGUUUUAUCUAAACUAAGAGGACCACAAGUGCUUCUCUAACAAAGAAUUACUCAUUUGGUGUUCUUUUGCACUGCUGAUUUUAGUUCAAAUUGGUGUCAGUGCGACCUUUUUGUCAUGUUGGAUAAGGCUUUCUGUAUCACAUGGAUGUGACCUGUAGUAUGGUGUAGAAAAGUGAUGAAAGGUAUUAGUUUGAAUUAAUUUGGCAGCAAUAGUUUAUCAAGUUUUUGCCAAGCCAGCUAUUUGUAGAAUUUCUGCAGCUGUACUUUGUGCCAUCUCCCUCAUGUAGAUAUAUAUAUACUAGCAGACUAGCACGUAAAUUAUUUACAUCAAAACUGAGACAUAUCUAUAUAUGAUGGAGGCAUUUCUUUCUUUAUAUUCAGCAGUACCUCUUGCUGCUAUAAAGAAAGUAGAAACAUGGUUGAUAAAUAAUCACAUUGUUCUGCCCAUUUUUCAUUUCACAAUCCAUUACAAUUGUUAUGUCCUUGCAAUCAUACCACUACACAUGACGCUUCCUAGAUCUGGAACCCAACCAAAGCACAAUCAAGUUUGAUUUGUGCUGUUAUUGGGCCUCGCUGCGACCCUGAUGUUUUUGGGCCAAGUUGGGCAGAAUCUGCUCAUGCUUAUAAUAAAACAAGUUUGUUAACAGAUUAAAUAGUCGCACCUAGCUUCUUACAGCUAAUUCUAUCAAGUUUUUUUAAAAAAAUUCUAUCAAUUUAUAUAUGCCUAUAAGUAUGAGAAUUAACAAGCAGCCUGAGAAUAAACUGACGGAGGGUGAGCUGUGUUUAGCAAAAAGUAUCACCUGGUUAGCGUAAUAAAUAAAAGGAGUUGGGGAUUGUUGGCUGCCAAACGAAAAAUCUCAGGAAGCCUAAAUAAAAGGGAUCGUGGGCUGCGAAUCAAAAAACCCUGUUUAGUAUAAAUAAAGGAAAUUGUGGGCUCUGAAAUGAAAAAUUCCGGUUGACAUAAAUAAAGGAGAUUGUGGGCUACGAAACAAAUAAUCUCAGUUGAGCACGAUUGUUGUAUGCUAAACGAAAAAUAAAAGCGACUGUGGUCUGUGAAACAAAAAAUAAGCAAAGGCCUCCCGGUUGGCAUAAAUAAAUGCUAUGAAACGAAGAAAAUAAAUAAAUGGGCAUGGUUGAACAAUUUCAGUAUUUUAUACUAAUACUAUUUUCAUUUAAAGGCUGAAUUUUGUCACCCCGUUGCAACACACGGGCAUAUGUCCUAGAAGAUAUUUGGAAUGCAGAGUUCAUGAAAACAAAUAUUUGUGCGGUCUAAAUAGUACUGUAUUUAGUUUUCUGGAAGGGUGCAAAAGGCAUACUGGGCUUCCUGUGUAUACUGAUUGCUAAAUGAUGCAAUAGUAUUUGUGCGGUGGGGGAGUGUCAUUCCCUGUGUUUACUGAUUGGCCUCACCCUCUUAAGAGAUCUAACCCUUGUCACCAUAAGGAAAAAAGCAAAGAGUAUUAUGACGCCAUAAAGUUUGAAUUCAGAGAAGUAUAUGCUGAAGAACACCAGAAUUAGUCUUCAUGAACCAUCAUCGCCUUGUUGAUGAUGCUUCACAUAGCGCCCACAAAUUAAACAACCUAUGAAAUGGCCAGAAGGGACCGGAUAUCCUACUUGUAUUUGCAGAGGAAUUCCGAACAGGCUUCAUUAAUUCAGUAAAGGCCUAUGUAGAAACAUCUAUGACUUCACUAGAGAGUGGAUCUGCACUCGAGGAGCAGCUCGAGCAGCUCUGCGCACAUGCCUAGACCUACUUUCCUGUCGGCGUUGUUGAUAUGUGUGUUCUGUAUCAUUCUUUACGUCUAGCGUGUGAUGUAAUCCAUUUUCAGACUUUUUCACCAGUGGAAGCAUAUAUUUUACGAGCUGAAUCAAUAGAUGUUCAUUGAGUUUCAUGUAAAAAGCGCAUGUACAUUCUCACCAAAAACAAGAAAGUGUGUGUGUGCCCGACCUUCUCCCGCUGCGACCUUGACCAGGAAGCACGUCAAACAGAAAUGCCAAUCUUUACACCAGCAUCAAGCCCCUAGAAAAGUCUAUCACCUGUAUCUUUGCAUAUCACCGAGAUGGAGCCAGAAGACAAUUUUUUUAUCUUUAGGUGUUAACUCCUUGUGACAGGUAUAUGUGAGUAUCAUCGUUGUGUAGAGAUAGAAAUAUUCACAUUAGCAAACCUUUAGCUUAAGGUGUGACUGGUACCCAAUUACUCUUGGUCUCACUAUUUUAUCUUUUUGCUGGACAUUUUACAUCUCUUUUGAUUACUAAGCCUUUUAUUUUCUA